Molecule: non-coding RNA, 121 nt
Filed under: Secundilactobacillus oryzae
Lineage: Bacteria; Bacillati; Bacillota; Bacilli; Lactobacillales; Lactobacillaceae
Description: Lactobacillus oryzae FMN sequence
Rfam family: FMN riboswitch aptamer (RFN element)
About the family: The RFN element is a highly conserved domain that is found frequently in the 5'-untranslated regions of prokaryotic mRNAs that encode for flavin mononucleotide (FMN) biosynthesis and transport proteins. This element is a metabolite-dependent riboswitch that directly binds FMN in the absence of proteins. In Bacillus subtilis, the riboswitch most likely controls gene expression by causing premature transcription termination within the 5' untranslated region of the ribDEAHT operon and precluding access to the ribosome-binding site of ypaA mRNA.
Source: RNAcentral
GUUCAUCUUCAGGGCAGGGUGAAAUUCCCGACCGGUGGUUAAAGUCCGCGACCUAGCAUUAGCUAGUUGAACUGGUGUAAUUCCAGUACCGACAGUACAGUCUGGUAUAUAGAAGAUUAGU